Chelonia mydas (Green sea turtle) is the source of this 2164-nucleotide long non-coding RNA. RefSeq lists it as uncharacterized. NCBI's taxonomy places the organism in Eukaryota, Metazoa, Chordata, Testudines, Cheloniidae. The transcript has 3 exons. The record is from RefSeq and is a predicted model, not a curated record.
AGCAGCCGGCCACCUCCAGGAGUGGCGUGGGGCCACAGUAUGCAGGCAGCUCCUAAAGCCCCUGCGUUAAUCCAGCCCUGGAGGCAGGCACCAACUGCUGCAGCCAAUAGAAGAAACAAACGCUGCUAUAAAGGAGAGAACAGAGACAGAAGGGGAGGUAGAAAGGUCUGGGACAGCAAAGGGGUGACAUCCUUGCUUCAGGCUCCCUCCAUGAACACAGCCAAGAGACUGAAGCAGACUGCUAGACUUAAUUAAAGCAGGGAGCCUGAGGACUGAGUAGUAUUGCACUACCCUUUACCCCUGGAGGUGUCUUUACAGAUCAUGGGACCCUUUGCUUGUCGAUCUCCCCACUUCCACAUGAAACGAGGUCAACAGAGACCAGAGCUGGUGUAAAGGUGCAAGAACUCCAUGCAGAUGGCCCUGGACUCCCAUGGAUCUCCAAGGAACCCAAUUUUGGGGGCAGGCCACACCACCUUUUUUAUAAAGCGCAAACCCCAACAGGAUGAUGUUCAGGUGAUAGAGGGGUCUCCAUUAGGAUGUCCUCAUGAAGAUUUUCUCUCUCCAAGACUCCUUCCUGUGGGUAUCAGCACAGAAGGGGAUGAUCUAGACUAAUAUUAUUGUAAUUAUUUUCUGUGUUUUAGUCUAGGUGAACUACUGUUGUUUUGUUUGUCUGUUUGUGUGCUUAAACUGAAGAUACAUUUUGGACUCUAAGUCUAUUUAAAUUCAUACACGUGAGCAGGCCUAUUGGCUUCAAAGGGAUUACUCACAUAAAUAAAAUUAUGCACAUUCUUCAGUCUUUGCAGGAUCAGGGUCUAACAUUGUGUCGCUGCACUGAGUGUAUAGUAUAUAAGAUGUGUCUAUAAAGAGAAUAAAAUAUUUACAUGGUUGUUCAAUUUUAAUAAAGCAGACCAUGCAUAUAACCCAAGGAAAUAUUGCAUACUUAAAAUCUACAAGAAGCAGCAAUGUUUUUACUAUAGCCACUUAAAUUGUCAGUGACUAAUCAGCCCUCCUGAAAACCCUAAUCCCCGCCUCCCACACAUACACUCUUUUUCUUACUUGAAAUGGUAUGAAUUUGCCAAUACAGUCUUAUGAAAACCCCAGAUAAAAUGUAUAUGUAUCCAAGCGAUUAGACUGUUUUGUAGCAUCUGUUGAUGCAGCAUAUGAGCCGUGUUGGGAGCACAAAACCCCAAAAGGCAUGAGGUAGUGUAACCUACACACCUUCUGGGUGUGGUGGUCUGUCCCAUUUAGCGGCACCGAGACCACUUAGAGAGAAAGAGAGAGAGAAAAUAAGUCUGCUCUGCAGCCUUAGCUAAUAGCCAGCUGGCUUUUAGCUCAUGCGGUAGAGGCUCAUGCACUAAGCUCCAGAGGUCCUAGGUUCAAUCCUGCCUGCCAACCCUGGUCAUCGGGGUUACAGUAGCAUGGGUGUUGGGUGGUAGAAAAUAUAUGCUCAUUCCUCAUACAGACAUUGGUAUUAGAGAUGUGAUCCCUCGAUUCAUUCCAGAUAUAUGAAAUUAAACAUGGUCUCUUAUAGCAAGUACCAAGCCCAGUGACUACUGCCCAUUUGGGGCCUGGAGGUAUAUUCACUACAUCAGUUGAAAGAACAGGGUCCAUUCCAAUGUGGUAGUACAAUAUGUCUUUCAUGGGAUCAUGUAAGAUGGCAUAACUUGAUAAGAUCCAAGAAGAGCAUCACUCUGAAAACAGCAUACAGGGAAAUGUUACAAUAUCCAAGAAGUCUAGAAACUAAGAGAUACUGUUCCAUCAAUGGACUCACAGGCACAGCUCUAAAAACAUGUAUUUUUUAAAUGUAGGCUAAGAAAGAUUUAGCAUGGCAUUUAAUGUCAAAAGACUGAAAUAGCAACCACCUCUUUCCAUUGUUUUUAGGAUUCAGCAGCUUGAGAAGCUUUCUGCCUACACCAAGGAAUUAAUAGCCUGGUAUAUAAUAUUAACAUAAAAUAACAGCUCUACUAAAAUAUGUGGAUGAGAAAACAGAGAAGCACCAACACUUAAUUAUAAAUCCUAAAAGUACCAUAAAAAACAAAUGUGUUUUAUACAGAUCUCUUUUCUUUCAUAAAAACUUAUAAUUGAAUGUUAGAAAGUCUACAAAAGAAGAAUAAAACUACCAAAUCUUCCCCUUAAAUAAAAGGUUAAGUCUUUAAUUCUAGGA